Molecule: ribosomal RNA, 489 nt
Filed under: Prosoeca sp. 22 GLT-2023a
Lineage: Eukaryota; Metazoa; Arthropoda; Insecta; Diptera; Nemestrinidae
Description: partial large subunit ribosomal RNA
Rfam family: Bacterial large subunit ribosomal RNA
Source: RNAcentral
UCAAAAACAUGUCCUUUAGGAUUUAAUUUAAGGUCUAGCCUGCCCACUGAUUUAUUAAAUGGCCGCAGUAUUUUAACUGUGCAAAGGUAGCAUAAUCAUUAGUCUUUUAAUUGGAGGCUUGUAUGAAUGGUUGGACAAGAUAUAUAUUGUUUCAUAUAAAUUUAUAGAAUUUUAUUUUUUAGUUAAAAAGCUUAAAUUUAAUUAAAAGACGAGAAGACCCUAUAGAUCUUUAUAAUUGUUGAAUUUAAUUUAUGAAGAAUGUUUUAUUUUUAAUUUAUUCAAUUAUUUUAUUGGGGUGAUAGCAAGAUUUAUUUAACUCUUGAAUAAUUUAAUACAUAAAUUAAUGAUUAAUUGAUCCAGUAUUAUUGAUUAGUAAAAUAAGUUACCUUAGGGAUAACAGCGUAAUUUUUUUAGAGAGUUCAUAUCGAUAAAAAAGAUUGCGACCUCGAUGUUGGAUUAAGAGAUAAGUUUGGGCGCAGCCGUCAAAUU